ACAAACUUGGUCAUUUAGAGGAAGUAAAAGUCGUAACAAGGUUUCCGUAGGUGAACCUGCGGAAGGAUCAUUCAUAAUAAAAGUGUAUUUUAUGGCACUUUUAAAACAAUCCAUAUCCACCUUGUGUGCAAUGUUUUUUUUUUUAUAAUAAACUCAUUUUUUUAACAUAUUUUGUCUGAAAUAUUUUUUAUGAAUUACUUAAUUCUAAAAUAUAACUUUCAACAACGGAUGUCUUGGCUCUCGCAUCGAUGAAGAACGCAGC
RNAcentral lists this unclassified non-coding RNA (262 nucleotides) under uncultured fungus. Its description in RNAcentral is "partial contains small subunit ribosomal RNA, internal transcribed spacer 1, and 5.8S ribosomal RNA". The stretch from base 1 to 73 matches the Rfam family "Eukaryotic small subunit ribosomal RNA", at positions 1759 to 1831 of the family's 1831-position model. The record is from RNAcentral. Lineage: Eukaryota; Fungi.